UAGUCCACGCCGUAAACGAUGAGCACUAGUUUUUGGAGGUCUAACCCCUUCAGAGACGCAGCUAACGCAUUAAGUGCUCCGCCUGGGGAGUACGGUCGCAAGACUAAAACUCAAAGGAAUUGACGGGGGCCCGCACAAGCGGUGGAUUAUGUGGUUUAAUUCGAAGCUACGCGAAAAACCUUACCUAGGCUUGAAAUCCCGCGAAGACAUUGUAAUGAUGUUGUGCUCUUCGGAGAACGCGGUGACAGGUGCUGCAUGGCUGUCGUCAGCUCGUGUUGUGAAAUGUUGGGUUAAGUCUCGCAACGAGCGCAACCCCUAUCUUUAGUUGCCAGCAUUAAGUUGGGCACUCUAGAGAGACUGCCUGGGUUAACCAGGAGGAAGGUGGGGAUGACGUCAAGUCCUCAUGGCCCUUAUGCCUAGGGCUACACACGUAAUACAAUGGAAUAUACAAUGGGAAGCGACCUGGUGACAGUGAGCCAAUCUCAAAAAGUAUUCUCAGUCCGGAUUG
RNAcentral lists this ribosomal RNA (508 nucleotides) under uncultured bacterium. Its description in RNAcentral is "bacterial SSU rRNA". It matches the Rfam family "Bacterial small subunit ribosomal RNA", at positions 791 to 1300 of the family's 1533-position model. The record is from RNAcentral.